GAGUGGAUAACCGCUGAAAGCAUCUAAGUGGGAAGCCCACCUCAAGAUGAGUACUCUCACUACGUUAGGUAGGUAAGGUCACGGGAAGACGACCCGUUAAUAGGUGUUAGGUGGAAGUGCAGUAAUGUAUGGAGCCUAGAUAUACUAACAGACCGAGGGCUUGACCUC
This 168-nucleotide ribosomal RNA is filed under the name Trichodesmium sp. St4_bin8_1. Its description in RNAcentral is "partial 23S ribosomal RNA". It matches the Rfam family "Bacterial large subunit ribosomal RNA", at positions 2758 to 2925 of the family's 2925-position model. Lineage: Bacteria; Bacillati; Cyanobacteriota; Cyanophyceae; Oscillatoriales; Microcoleaceae. RNAcentral also lists the same sequence under 2 other names. The record is from RNAcentral.